RNAcentral lists this transfer RNA (67 nucleotides) under Orientocreadium sp. HS. RNAcentral's name for it is "tRNA-Val". The record is from RNAcentral. Lineage: Eukaryota; Metazoa; Platyhelminthes; Trematoda; Plagiorchiida; Orientocreadiidae.
UGGUGAGGUAGUUUAAGCAUAAAACACUUAUUUUACACGUAAGAGAUAACUAGGGGUUUAUCACUAU